Molecule: long non-coding RNA, 211 nt
Filed under: Elaeis guineensis (African oil palm)
Lineage: Eukaryota; Viridiplantae; Streptophyta; Magnoliopsida; Arecales; Arecaceae
Description: long non-coding RNA (EGUI_LNC059884)
Source: RNAcentral
GUUUUAAACUAUACAAUGUUUUAUUAAGUUUGAAGACAUGAUUUGGAUAAACGUGAUUUUCAAAACCUGAUGGUUACUCUAUAGAAAUCUCUUCAAUAAUAAAAUUAUUUAAAAAAUAUUUUUUAUAUUUAUUUGAUAUAAUAUAAAAUUUAUAUAACAAGCAAAAGUAAGUAGCAAUCUAAUGACUUCUAAUCUAGCUACUAGUGCAUAU